CGGGGUAGGAGUAACGCGUGAGGAACCUGCCUCAAAGAGGGGGACAACAGUUGGAAACGGCUGCUAAUACCGCAUAAGCCCACGGCUCGGCAUCGAGCAGAGGGAAAAGGAGCAAUCCGCUUUGAGAUGGCCUCGCGUCCGAUUAGCUAGUUGGUGAGGUAGUGGCCCACCAAGGCAACGAUCGGUAGCCGGACUGAGAGGUUGAACGGCCACAUUGGGACUGAGACACGGCCCAG
This 236-nucleotide ribosomal RNA is filed under the name uncultured bacterium. RNAcentral describes it as "partial 16S ribosomal RNA". It matches the Rfam family "Bacterial small subunit ribosomal RNA", at positions 104 to 334 of the family's 1533-position model. The record is from RNAcentral.